UAGGGAAUCUUCCACAAUGGACGCAAGUCUGAUGGAGCAACGCCGCGUGAGUGAAGAAGGUUUUCGGACCGUAAAGCUCUGUUGUUGGUGAAGAAGGAUAGAGGUAGUAACUGGCCUUUAUUUGACGGUAAUCAACCAGAAAGUCACGGCUAACUACGUGCCAGCAGCCGCGGUAAUACGUAGGUGGCAAGCGUUGUCCGGAUUUAUUGGGCGUAAAGCGAGCGCAGGCGGAAGAAUAAGUCUGAUGUGAAAGCCCUCGGCUUAACCGAGGAAUUGCAUCGGAAACUGUUUUCUUGAGUGCAGAAGAGGAGAGUAGAACUCCAUGUGUAGCGGUGGAAUGCGUAGAUAUAUGGAAGAAUACCAGUGGCGAAGGCGGCUCUCUGGUCUGCAACUGACGCUGAGGCUCGAAAGCAUGGGUAGCGAACAGGAUUAGAUACCCUGGUAGUCCAUGCCGUAAACGAUGAGUGCUAAGUGUUGGGAGGCUUCCGCCUCUCAGUGCUGCAGCUAACGCAUUAAGCACUCCGCCUGGGGGAGUACGA
Molecule: ribosomal RNA, 539 nt
Filed under: uncultured bacterium
Lineage: Bacteria
Description: partial 16S ribosomal RNA
Rfam family: Bacterial small subunit ribosomal RNA
Source: RNAcentral